This 254-nucleotide ribosomal RNA is filed under the name uncultured bacterium. RNAcentral describes it as "partial 16S ribosomal RNA". It matches the Rfam family "Bacterial small subunit ribosomal RNA", at positions 524 to 776 of the family's 1533-position model. The record is from RNAcentral.
CACGUAGGGUGCGAGCGUUGUCCGGAAUUAUUGGGCGUAAAGAGCUCGUGGGCGGUGUGUCGCGUCGGCCGUGAAAACCUGCAGCUUAACUGUGGGCUUGCGGUCGAUACGGGCAUCACUGGAGUUCGGCAGGGGAGACUGGAAUUCCUGGUGUAGCGGUGAAAUGCGCAGAUAUCAGGAGGAACACCGGUGGCGAAGGCGGGUCUCUGGGCCGAUACUGACGCUGAGGAGCGAAAGCGUGGGGAGCGAACAGG